GUUUAUAAGAACACUGCUCAUUUUCUUCUUUUCCAAACGGACAGAAAGGAAUAAUGAUGCACUGGAAGAUUUAAAAUCUCAAAAGAAAAAAAUACUUGAGGAAGUAAUGGAGAAGGAAACAUACAAGACUGCUAAAUUAAUCCUUGAAAGGUUUGAUCCAGAAUCAAGUGCAAAGGAGGCUGAACUACCAUCUGCUGGAACAUCUGCAACCCCAAGACCUGGACAAGAAAUUCGUCAGAGAACUGCAGCUCAAAGAAAUGCUUCUACAACCCCACCUGUGACUCCUAAACAAGGUUCUCCCAAGUCACCUGUUCCAGCAUCUCCUAAUCUGCAGAGAGACUCAUCAGGUCUGAGCGGAGUCCCAGAAAGAACUGUUGUGCCAUCCUUGCAAUCAAAUGUUUUACCAAGACGCCCUGGAUCCCCUGCUACUUCAGUGCCUGGAAUGGGUCUUCAUCCUCCAGGCCCUCCUUUGGCAAGACCUAUUCUUCCUCGAGAAAGAGGAGUUGUGGAUAGAGUUAUUGAAUAUUUGGUUGGUGAUGGUCCUCAGAACAGGUAUGCCCUUAUAUGUCAGCAAUGCUUUUCCCACAAUGGUAUGGCUUUGAAGGAGGAGUUUGAAUACAUAGCAUUUAGGUGUGCCUACUGCUUUUUCCUGAAUCCUGCAAGAAAAACUAGACCUCAAGCUCCACGACUUCCAGACUUCAGUUUUGAAAAAAGGCGAUCUACGGAAUCGCAAGCUGAAACUGAGCCUCUAGAACCCAGAGAGAAAACGCCCCAGGAGACUGAACAGACAGAAGAAUCUGAAGAUGAUGUGGCCCAGAUCAUUGAGACAAACGAGACAGAUGAUAAAACACCAAGUUCUGAGCAGCUAAAUGAUAAGCUAGCUGAGGAAAUUGAAAAAGAAGAAGCAGAGAACAUUUCAACAACUGAAGACUCUAUUUCAGAGUCUAUUUCAGCUGAACAAAAUGAAGAAUCUUUAAUGAAAACAGAAUAAAGUACUUCAAGUGCCUUCUGUAGCUAGUUUUUAGCUUUGUUCAUGCCUGUUGUUACUAUUCAGAGAAGCUGGAUUUGUAGAAAACUCAAGCAACAAAGACCUUCCAGCUCUUCUGAAGUGGUCUGCCCUAUAAUUCCUUGCGUCAUUUCAAGGAGUUCUACUCACUUGAUGAAACUUAAUUUUGACUUGUUCAGCACUCAAAGAAAAACAUUUUACAAAACCACCAAGAAAAUUAAUUUUAAGAAAACUAUUUUGAAUGAUGUUUUAAAGGAAAUGUGAAAGUUGUUAUUUCUUUAGGAAUGUUUGAACUUGUAUUUUUUGUAUAUUGAGCUUUUAUUUAAACAGGAGAUCCUGUAUAUUUAUAGAUGUUAUUGUUGUAAUAGCCUUGUUGUUACAUUAGCAAAGGGUGUGUGUGUUUAUGUACUAUAAAUAGUAUCUUUAAUCAGAAGUAUCAUUUUAAUCCUAGCUGUGGCCUUGACCAGUAGUUACAUCACCUGCAAUUGAAAUCCCAUUAAAAUCAAUUGCAAAGACAUUAAUUAGUGUGAAUUCUUGGGGUCUAAUAGACUUCAUGAAAUAUCUUAGUUUUUCUGCUUGUAAUUGAGAAAAUAUUUGAAUUUGUGCUCCCCUUUUGAAAUUUACUAUUUGACUAAAUGAAGUAAAUUUUAAAGCAUAUGAAAUUAAAUUAUAUAGCUUGUUGUUUGAAUAUAUGGUGCCUUUGCUUCUCCAGGAUAAAAAAAUCCUGAUUAUGAAGAAGCUAUUUAUUCACUUGAUCUUCAUUUAUGGUUUCAAGGUGAUAAUUCUGUUUAGUAGUUCCUUCUGUGCUGGCUGCACUCAAUCAACAUGAAUUUCAUAGGGUUUUUUUUUUUUUAAGGCCCUUGUGUUACCAAACAAAAAUGAGAGUGGCCCAGCCUUUUUAUUGCAGUCUCCGCCCCCAAGUUGGACAGGCAUAUGUAGGAGAAGAAAGUUGUUCAAGGUUGAGUAGAUGCUGAUAAGACCCAUUUAUCUGUGCUGCAACCAGUUGUGAGAACUCCUGGCUCAUGGCAUGAACAGCCAGCUAUCUACCCUCAAAGAUCCAACUGGCACAGGAUGGCAGAAUUUUGUGGAUGCUGAAGAAGAUGCAGGGAAAACUCAGUAUAAAAAAUAUGUGGCAGCUUCAGAGGGAACUGUGGAGUUUCAAAGAUGCUGAAUUUGGCCCACAGUUACAGAGACAUUUCAGGGUAGAUGUUACAGGUUUUAUCUGAAUGGUGAUUUAUGUCCUUAUUCCUCCAUUAUUGUCCACAAGGUACUGCCCUAUGUCACAGGCUUGUAUUACCUAAUUUUUUUAGACUGUUUCAUUUUCAUUAGUACAGCUGCUUUAGCUUGUGAUCAGUGUACUGCACCUCAUUGAUAAUCUAAGAGGGUAUUAGAUGCACAGAAGUGGCACCUAACCCUGUCAGUCUGGCUUGAUUGACCCCUCAGCUUCCAAAACAUGGGUUCAUUUUUUUUUUUUUUUUUAAGCCCAAGUUAGCCUGCAUCCAUUUUCACACACAUUCUGGGCAGUUUAAAGGUUGGUCGGAUUCGAAUAUUGCUCUUUCAAAUUUGAUAAUGUAUGAGUACAGAACUGUGACCUUUGAUACGUAGUAAUACAUCAACAUGACACAAGCAGUAAGUGCAGCAAUUACCUUUACUACACUUCAGAUUGUGUUUUAGUUCUCAUCUUGUAAGCAAUUAUUUCAGGAAAAAAGGGAUGCCUUUAAGUUAAAUAUAUUUUGCAAAUAGUGUAAAUGCAGAAAUUAAUCUUUGGGGACUUUUUGAUUUACAGGUGAAUGUUUUCAAAUGAAUCUUGGCUUUUAAAUUAACAUUGGUUCCCUGGUAGAAAUGAAUCUUGUGCCACUGGCUUUUAUACUAUUUUUUUUUCUGGAAGAGUAUUUUUAACCAUUUUUGUUGUGUUCUAAUGUAAUCUAAGUUUCACGUUCUAAUUUAUGGCUAAAGUCUGACCCUGCAAGCUGUUGACAUGUCACUGUGUUCAUGUUGCUCCCAUGAUAAUACUCAAUAGUGGGUUAUGUGCAUGGUAAUAAUGCAAGCUUACAUGCUUUUAAAUGCCUUUUAGAACACAAGAGCAUAUCAGACCUGUACCACAUACUGAUUUAAAAUGCUGUUUUUAAAUGUUUUGUCUUUUUCCUGAGCAGAUCAAGAUACUCUUGGUUUAUUUCCAAAUGUUCUUUCUCACCUGUAGUUAUAAAUUAUUUGGAUAAUGAUAGUGCACAACCACUACCUGGUAGCAGUAUAAAACCACAAAUCAGUACUCCUUGCCAAGGAGCAUAAAGCCUUGAGAGGACUGAUAGCAGUUGUGGUUCUGUGGUUCCUCUGUUCUGUGGACUGAAAAAUCAGAAUAAAAUUACUGUAUCAUUCUGAGCAAGCAAUUGAGUAACCAUUGAGUGGUGACUUUCUGUCAAUGCUGUCUGUCACAACCCAAAUUUGAAGGAAUAAUUUGAAGUAGACUUUCUUGUUGGAAAAUAUCUGCUUCUUCAGCAGCCAAGCACUAAGCAGUGUUGGUGUGCUGGACUUAGGCACUGAACUUUAAUUGAGGAGCUGGGAAAACCCUUUGUUCUAUACCGAAGUGAAAUCAACACCUUUUGGAAUGGCUUUCUUUAGGCUGUCAAAAAUCUAAACCCCUAGUCCCCAGUACCAUCUGGCUGUUCUAGGAUCCAGGCCCAGGAGACAGCUGAUCCCAGUGGCCAAUGUGGAAUGGGGACUGAAUAGAGCUAUUCUCUUUCAAGUCUACCAUGAGCAGAGGAGUGAGUGCUUUCACUAGGGUAGCUUUCCCUUUUGAACUCUUGCCUGUGGCAAUUGCUCACUUGCUGUACAUGUGCACUAGUUAUAGAUUGAUAAUAAACCUAAAAACUUUCCUAAUGCAACUCUCAUGGAAGGGUGUCUCUAACAAAUUUUCUCGGUAUUUUCUAGCAAGAGAAAAUUCUUAACUAUCAUGGUGGUGUUUGUUCUUGGGGAGGAAAAUCAAAAGAAAUACAUUAAACCACCAUAUAAAUUACUCCUAAUCAAGCACUUGACCACAGAAAUUGUUUUACAAAGCCGAGAAGAAUGUGCUAGCUGGGGAAAAGGUGCAAACAUGUUUCUGUGCUGUUUCUUGUUUCUUUUGACCUUUACCACGUAAGGGCACUUGGGCCCUUAACUCCUUUAAAAUAAAAAAAACCCAAACCUUAGGCCUUUUUUUUUUUUUUUGCAUGCUUUUAUAAAUUCUAAGUGUUAAUAGUAGUAACUUAUUUGGAAAAAAUACUCAACCUACUUUUGUACAGUGUUUUCCAUCAAAAAAUAUAAAUAGUGUGUACAUGGAAAUCUUGAGUCUGUGCUGCUGAGUUAGCAGAUGAUGGUGGUUACAACAGCUCAGUGGGGAAGUUUGUUUUGCAACUGGAACUCCAUGUUUGUAGGAAAUUCCUUAGACUGAAAGGCUGCCCUUGUGACUGUGGGCAGAGAAGUGCAUUUAUUACUUGACUACAAAUAACAACAGGAGAACAAUGGCAACUGCUCAUUGCAUGUCAGCAUUUGUUGAUUGUUGUUUGCUCAUGCUAAAUUUAUUACUUCUGGUAACAACUUAGGCCUCUUUAGUUCUCUGUAUUGUAUAUUAUUUGCCAUUUUUUAAAAGAGCUGACAACACUGGCAUUCCCCAACAGUAGAAUCCUUUUUAUAAUAUCUAUAAAAUAUUUCCUUUCUCUUAUAUUUUAGAUAAGGAAUACUACUACAGCAAUAUGACUAGAAGUACUUAUUUUUUAGAAAUGCUAGGGUUUUUAUUUGUUUCAGCUAUUUACCUACAUCUAUAUGGUUUUGGGGCUUUUUUUUCAAAUGGUGAAUGACAACCUAGUUGCAGAAAGUAUUGUCUUUUUAGAGUUUAUCUUAAAACUUACCAGUUUGCAAUGAUGAAAACCUCCUGGAAGGAGUUUGUUGGAUUAUUGAACAAAUGGUGAGCAGCUGAAAUUUAUGGACACUUAAUGGAAAGUACUUGACUAAAACGGCAUACAACUCGUUGUGAAUACUCCUGAUAUAUUAUUAUAAGGCGUUACAUUAGCCUAGUCAUGAAGUCUGAUCUAUUUGAUUUUAAAAUCUCAGAUUGUGUUAUGACUAAGUGUAAUGAUUCUCAGAGCUGGAAUAUUGUUAGCCAUUGUGAACAGUACAGAAGGAGCCUCCGGAUGUAUAAUGUAAUAGAUGCAAUUUUGUUUGAAUUUUUUUUCCCAAGGCCAAUUUAAUUUUGAUUUAUUUGCCUCAUUAACCCAAGGAUUCAGAAAAUUGAGUGCCACCUGAGUGAGGUAUUAUUAACGCUAGUGAAAUAUCUUCAAAAUCACUCCAUGCUUAUAAAUUAGUCUUUUGAAAGCAUUUUAAAGGCAUAAUGAUACUGUAGUGAAAAUGUACAGCAUCAUUUAAAAAUCGCAGAAUGCUUAUUUGAUUUCAGAAAUAAGAGUUGGUCACCUGACUUAAAUAUAUACUGAUCUAUUAUUUAUGCUUUGAAAAUAGAGCUGAUAAAAAAGCAUAAGUGUUCUUGAUAUUAUAUUUUGUCAUAUCUAGCUAAAAAGAUUGAAAUCCAGAGAAACAAUUUUCUGAAGAAAUGAAAUAGUAUGCCCUCCUGAACCCCUGGGGAAAAUAGCCUCUCUGGUUGCUCAGAAUACGAAGCAGGAGAACAGUAAAGUAAAACAGACAGCCCAUGUCACAUUCCUAUUUGUACAGUCUGGAAUGAUGUUUUAAAAACAUUUUCUAGUUAUUUUUGAUAAAUAAAUGGUGCAAAUAACAUCUGCAAACCAACCCUGCUGAUGUAAGAUUUUUCAGAUCAGAUUUGUUUGUCAGUGAAAGUUCAGAAAAUUGCUUUGGAAAACUAAGGUUGUAUAACUCCCAAAAAUAUGCAUAACAAAUGUACAAGAAUAUAUCUUGUUCUUCUCUUGCCUUCCCUCAGAGAAACUAAUGCUGAUUCCCCAUUACCUUUGCUUCCGGGCUCAGAAGGUAGCUUGAUGAAAUUAUCAGAUAUCAAAAAGCUCAGUUGCUAAACACAGACAGGUUUAUAAGGUGUUAAGUAGCCGAAUGUUCGUGUUGAUGGUGGGACAUCCAUUUGGAUGUCCAUUUGGAAUCGUGUAUCCUGGUUAAAGCUCUGAGAUUUCCCUCGGAGCCAGUAGUGCUGCACUGAAAACUUAGCUAAGGUUUCUAAGAUCCUUCCACAGGUGCUGCACCAAUGAUCAGGGUGUGUGAGUGACAGAUGUGUGUGGCCUGGCUGUUGCUUUCUUCAGGUUCUGCCAAAGGCUGGUGCACUGAGGAUGAAGGGAAGUUCCUCCAAAUCUUGUGACUCCCAGAAGUGCACUCUCCAGUGUAAGGAUGCUGCUGCCACUCUGAUUUCCAUUACUGACAUAAAAGCUGAGAUGGAAAAACCUUCCUUGGGCAGUAGUAUUGAAUAACCUGAUGCCAUGGCUCUACAAAUGCCCCAUUACCCAAGACUGGCUAAGGCAGCAUGUGUCUGUACAUCUUCCGAAGCACUGCCUGUUGAGGGAGUGUACUUUCAGCUGCAUUUGAGUAAUGUAUGUCUUCAAGGCUCUCUUAUUAUGCUUUGGACUUCUGUGGUCUGCAGAGUUGCUUAAAACCAGCUUUAAUGUUAUUUUUGUACGGAUUCUCAGUCAGUGGACUCCGUGUUGGGCUAAAUUCUGUGAUUAUAUUCACAGAGUACAAGGUGCAUGUAUUUUGUAAAUAUGUAUGUGCUUAAUAGUGACACCCCCUUUCCAAAAAAAAAGAUUUUUUUUUCUUUUUCAGUCUUUAAAAAGUAUUGAUUUAAUAAACUUUUCCCUAUGAGCUUGUACAA
RNA transcript from Lepidothrix coronata (blue-crowned manakin), 6818 nucleotides. It is a transcript of the gene named lunapark, ER junction formation factor, with no coding region annotated. The record is from RefSeq and is a predicted model, not a curated record. Lineage: Eukaryota; Metazoa; Chordata; Aves; Passeriformes; Pipridae. The transcript has 10 exons.